This 316-nucleotide ribosomal RNA is filed under the name uncultured eukaryote. RNAcentral's name for it is "partial 18S ribosomal RNA". It matches the Rfam family "Eukaryotic small subunit ribosomal RNA", at positions 1470 to 1796 of the family's 1831-position model. The record is from RNAcentral.
CCCUUAGACGUUCUGGGCCGCACGCGCGCUACACUGACGAAGGCAACGAGCUUUCCUUUACCGAAAGGUACGGGUAAUCUUUUGAAACUUCGUCGUGCUGGGGAUAGAUCCUUGCAAUUUUUGAUCUUAAACGAGGAAUGCCUAGUAAGCGCAAGUCAUCAACUUGCGUUGAUUACGUCCCUGCCCUUUGUACACACCGCCCGUCGCUACUACCGAUUGAAUGGCUGGGUGAAGAAGACGGACACGGCCGCCCUAAAAAGCGGGCGUUGGAAGUCUUCUCAACCUAGGUCAUUUAGAGGAAGUAAAAGUCGUAACA